CUCUAUUUCCUGGGCUCACCAUGGUCCAUCAGGGACGUCUAUCCUAAUCGGACGGCCCGCGGCGCAACUGGUCCUUACCGCCGCGUUCGCCUCCUUUUUUCCACUCACUUGGAUCGACGGCCUCGAACACUUCCCUCCCACGACUCCGCUCCGCCGCCACCGCCGCUCGCCGGGGCACAUCGCCACAGCCUCCCCCCUUCCCCUCACCCCCUGCCGUCGAAACCAAACUCCAUCCGCAAGCUCCAUUCGACAUAGGCCCGCCGCUCCGGGAUCAGUACUCUCCCCUUGGCGAAUGGAGAUGGAAGCAGCGGUUGCUCCACCCGCUUCGGGACUGCGCCGCUCGCUCAACAUCAACCCCGCGCGUGCCACGCGACCGGCCGCAAAACAUAGGCCGAGCCUUGCGGCGAGGCACCAGGCCAACGCCGUCAGGUGCGAGCUGCCCCGCCGCCCGGAGGCGCGCCUGCGCCACCGCGCGAGCGCAGCGGCGCAACGGGAUGGUGGUGACGCGGAGGCCGGGAGGAGGAAGCGGCUGGCGGUGUUCGUAUCCGGCGGGGGCUCCAACUUCCGGGCGAUUCACGAGGCCGCGCUGAGCGGGGCGGUGCACGGGGAUGUCGUCGCGCUUGUCACCGACAAGCCAGGUUGCGGAGGCGCGGAGCACGCCAGGAGCAAUGGCGUUCCUGUGGUCGUGUUCCCGAAGUCGAAGUCUGCGCCGGAGGGGAUUUCGGUAGCUGAACUGAUCAAUACCUUGAGGGAAUAUGAAGUUGACUUCGUUCUUCUUGCUGGUUACUUGAAACUUAUACCUACUGAACUGGUUCAGAAAUAUCCAAGAUCCAUAUUAAACAUCCAUCCUUCUCUCCUUCCGGCAUUUGGAGGCAAAGGUUAUUACGGUUUGAAGGUGCAUAAAGCAGUCAUUGCCUCUGGAGCAAGAUACUCGGGCCCAACUGUACACUUUGUGGAUGAGCACUACGAUACAGGGAGAACUUUAGCCCAGAGGGUUGUGCCUGUGUUAACCAAUGACACACCAGAGUUACUGGCUGCAAGAAUCCUUCAUGAGGAGCAUAAAGUCUAUGUUGAAGCAGUUGCUGCUCUGUGUGAGGACCGCAUUGUGUGGCGGGAAGAUGGCGUCCCGCUUAUCAAAAGCCAGACAAAUCCUGAUGAGUAUAUCUAAUUGACAAUACUAGCACUCUUUUGGAGUGAUAAAUGGAAUUUGUAAAGCUCCUGCCAGUUUUUCCCAAGGAAAAGGGGUACUUAACAUAGGCUGAUAUUAUCAUCAACAUGUGUUGGAAGUGGGAAACAGUGUUCAAUGAACUGCACUAUGCAUAGGCCACGAUUUUGCUCCUGACGAUUCCUUCUGGUUUCUACAAGAAAAUUCAUGAACGUACAUUGAAGCACAUUCCGGUUCUUUCCGAAGUCAUAAAGCAAGCUGUGGAUAAGGACUCACAAGAGAGAAAUACAUUCCUACACGGGCAUUGCGUUAGGUUAUUUGGUCAUUUCGGCUAUUGUCAUUCUGUGUGAUCAUUGUCUAGGCCCAAGUGACCGGAUACAUAGACAGCACGCAGUUGCAGC
Molecule: RNA transcript, 1566 nt
Organism: Phragmites australis (common reed)
Lineage: Eukaryota; Viridiplantae; Streptophyta; Magnoliopsida; Poales; Poaceae
Gene name: phosphoribosylglycinamide formyltransferase, chloroplastic-like
Exons: 6
Source: RefSeq, a predicted model, not a curated record